RNAcentral lists this small RNA (274 nucleotides) under uncultured Venatoribacter sp. RNAcentral describes it as "5' ureB small RNA". It matches the Rfam family "5' ureB small RNA". Lineage: Bacteria; Pseudomonadati; Pseudomonadota; Gammaproteobacteria; Oceanospirillales; Oceanospirillaceae. The record is from RNAcentral.
CCUGUUGCGGGCAGAUAAAGUGAAUGUGAGCAUCAAUGCCCCCGGCGGUCAGAAUCGAACCUUCACCGGCGAUCACUUCGGUGCCCGGACCCACAAUAAUAUCGACGUCGUUCUGAAUAUCCGGAUUACCGGCCUUGCCGAUGGCAAAAAUACGGCCGUCUUUGACACCGACGUCCGCUUUCACCACGCCCCAGUGAUCCAGUACCACUGCAUUGGUAAUCACCAGAUCCACGGUUUCCUGGCUGGUACGCUGACUCUGACCCAUACCAUCGCG